RNAcentral lists this long non-coding RNA (1943 nucleotides) under Homo sapiens (human). Its description in RNAcentral is "HSALNT0232194". The record is from RNAcentral. Lineage: Eukaryota; Metazoa; Chordata; Mammalia; Primates; Hominidae.
AAGAGUUUGACUACUUUAAAUAUCUCAUGAAAAUUCAGUCUCAGAAAAAUAUUUUUAUUCUAUUUGUUUGAUGUGUAACAGCUUACAAAAUGCUUACAUGUACAUGAAGUGUUUGGCAUUCUCCGUUUUAUAAUACAGUAUACCUAGUCCAUUAUUUUCAGCCUGGGACAGAAACACUCAUUUCUGGAAUGCAUCCAGUUUCUUCAAUCUGGCACGGGCUUGCUCACCUGUGUGUACCAGUACAUGCAUUUUCUCAGCCUUGGUUAUUGUAUUAGUCCAUUCUCACACAGCUAUAAAGAACUGCCUGAGACUGGGUAAUUUAAUAAAGAAAAGAGGUGUAAUUGACUCAUAGUUCCGCAUGGCUGGGGAGUCCUCAGAAAACUUACAACCGUGGCAGAAGGCACAUCUUCACAGGGGAAGAAAACUUGGACCUUCUUACGUGGCGACAGGAAAGAGAAGAGUCCGGAGCGAGGGUGAAAGAGCCCCUUAUAAAACCAUCAGAUCUCAUGAGAACUCACUUACUAUCAUCAGAACAGCAUGAGGGAAACCGCACCCAUGAUCCAAUUACCUCCACCUGGUCUGACUUUGACACCUGGGGAUUAUGAAGAUUAUAGGGAUUAUAAGUGAAUAGGAGAACGGCAUGGGGACACAGAGCAUAAUUGUAUCAGUUAUUUUCUCCACACUUCUUCAUUGCACCUUUCCUUCUCUGUCAAGGCAACAUCACCGUAACCCUUCUCUUACAUAUCUUCUCUGACUGUCCCUAUUAUUAAAUAAACACCCUCAUCUAUGCUCCAAUAAUACACUAUUUACUACUUCUUUUGACGCAUUUAUUAAUCCUUCCAUUCAAUAAUUGUUCACUGAACACCUCCUUUAUAUUUGGAACUGAGGGUAUAAUUGAAAGUAGUAAUACCCGUGAUGUUUUUCCUCCUAGAGUUAGGUCUGGUUUAAGAAUUGCUCCUGCAUCAGACAUUUCAGACAUAUUAAAUGCAUAUGUGUUUGUCGCCCUAUUAGAUUCUGAACUCUCAUCUGGGACAGGAGCUGCAUAUCUGAGCAUUUAGGGCUGGGGAAAGUGGUACUCAGUGAAGUUUUGACUGAAUGGUUACCCAAAGAACUUUGCAUUUGUUUAGUCUAAUUCUCAAUCAACUGACCAGUAAAUCAUUAGUAAACUAUUCAAUUAUCUUGGUAGAGUUGGAAAUAUAUUUUAAGUAUUCUUGCAAUGCAGUGUUCUGCAUAAAAUUAGAGCUCACUAAAUCUUCUUUGAUUAGUUGAAGGCCACUAUGGAUUCACCCCUAUGCCAUAAUACAUAUGAAUGAGUCUAAUAAUAAGAUAAAGCGGUUAUGUGUCACUGUUUCUGUUUACUGGGCAUAUUCGAUUGAGUAUGUAAUCACACCUUAGCUCUAAUGACAUCAGGUCUGUGAAUGUAAGGUUCUCUGUUCAGUGUCAAGGCAUGGUCAUUAACACGGACAAUAUAGAUCAGCGAGCAUCAUAUAUAACUGCAGCUUCCAAUAUCUUGGUUCAUGUUUUUAACACACAUUCCCAUAAUUUCUCUCUUGCCCCAGUAAUUAAUAAUAAGAUUAUCAAAAGCCAUUCAUUCAAUGUUUGAAAGAUGUAAAAGAUGCCUCCCAAUACAUACUUAAUGGGCAAAGGUGAUGCUAUGUUUGUUUUGAUGGGGAUGUUUAUCUGCCAGUUAUAAUGAGAGCUCAGCAAACACAUGAUUGGCCUGUUACCAGCACAUGAGAUAAAAACAUUCUGGAGGAAAAGAAGUCCUUAUGCCUCACUGGUUCUGUCUCUAUCAAGUAGACACCAAAAUGCUUGACAUUAGAGAGAAGAGGCAUACAUAAGGAACUACAAGAAGAUAUGACAACAUUUUUUUGUUGGACUGAAAAUUUUAAAGCUGAUACAAUAUAAGCUCAUGUAUUUUGCAAUCAACUAAGGAGUUACAA